RNAcentral lists this ribosomal RNA (251 nucleotides) under uncultured bacterium. Its description in RNAcentral is "partial 16S ribosomal RNA". It matches the Rfam family "Bacterial small subunit ribosomal RNA", at positions 100 to 353 of the family's 1533-position model. The record is from RNAcentral.
GACGGGUGAGUAAUGUCUGGGAAACUGCCUGAUGGAGGGGGAUAACUACUGGAAACGGUAGCUAAUACCGCAUAACGUCGCAAGACCAAAGAGGGGGACCUUCGGGCCUCUUGCCAUCGGAUGUGCCCAGAUGGGAUUAGCUAGUAGGUGGGGUAAAGGCUCACCUAGGCGACGAUCCCUAGCUGGUCUGAGAGGAUGACCAGCCACGCUGGAACUGAGACACGGUCCAGACUCCUACGGGAGGCAGCAUG